Molecule: ribosomal RNA, 498 nt
Filed under: uncultured bacterium
Lineage: Bacteria
Description: partial 16S ribosomal RNA
Rfam family: Bacterial small subunit ribosomal RNA
Source: RNAcentral
GAUGAACGCUGGCGGCAUGCCUAACACAUGCCAGUCGAACGGAGAUUAUUUCGGUAAUCUUAUUUGCGAACGGGUGCGUACGGCGUGGUCAACCUGCCCUCUCGAUGGGGACAACAUCCCGAAAGUUCUGCUAAUACCGAAUGUUACAGCAAUCUCGCAUGAGGAUGCUGUUUCAGAUGGCCUCUAUUUAUAAGCUAUCGCUAGAGGAUGGGCCUGCGUCUGAUUAGCUAGUUGGUGGGGUAACGGCCUACCAAGGCGAUGAUCAGUAGCCGGUCUGAGAGGAUGAACGGCCACAUUGGGACUGAGACAAGGCCCAGAAUUCUACGGGAGGCAGCAGUGGGGAAUCCUCCGCAAUGGGCGAAAGGCUGACGGAGGAAUGCCGCGUGAGGGAUGAAGGAAUUCGUUCCGUAAAGCUCUUUUGUUUAGGACGAAAGUGCAGAGUGUGAAAAAUGAUCUGUAAUGACGGUAGUAAACGAAUAAGCCACGGCUAACUACGUG